RNAcentral lists this ribosomal RNA (484 nucleotides) under uncultured bacterium. RNAcentral describes it as "partial 16S ribosomal RNA". It matches the Rfam family "Bacterial small subunit ribosomal RNA", at positions 30 to 507 of the family's 1533-position model. The record is from RNAcentral.
AUUGAACGCUGGCGGCAGGCCUAACACAUGCAAGUCGAGCGGAUGAAGGGAGCUUGCUCCUGGAUUCAGCGGCGGACGGGUGAGUAAUGCCUAGGAAUCUGCCUGGUAGUGGGGGAUAACGUCCGGAAACGGGCGCUAAUACCGCAUACGUCCUGAGGGAGAAAGUGGGGGAUCUUCGGACCUCACGCUAUCAGAUGAGCCUAGGUCGGAUUAGCUAGUUGGUGGGGUAAAGGCCUACCAAGGCGACGAUCCGUAACUGGUCUGAGAGGAUGAUCAGUCACACUGGAACUGAGACACGGUCCAGACUCCUACGGGAUGCAGCAGUGGGGAAUAUUGGACAAUGGGCGAAAGCCUGAUCCAGCCAUGCCGCGUGUGUGAAGAAGGUCUUCGGAUUGUAAAGCACUUUAAGUUGGGAGGAAGGGCAGUAAGUUAAUACCUUGCUGUUUUGACGUUACCAACAGAAUAAGCACCGGCUAACUUCGUG